This 80-nucleotide small nucleolar RNA is filed under the name Giardia duodenalis ATCC 50581. RNAcentral describes it as "Giardia intestinalis ATCC 50581 sRNA C/D-box". It matches the Rfam family "Small nucleolar RNA GlsR9". Lineage: Eukaryota; Fornicata; Diplomonadida; Hexamitidae. The record is from RNAcentral. RNAcentral also lists the same sequence under 1 other name.
UAGAUAACCCAUGAUUUGCAAUGCUUAGUCCGUGUUUCGAAGUGUUUUGCACGCUGGUGAGUGAAAGCACACAUGAGGUU